Molecule: long non-coding RNA, 778 nt
Organism: Epinephelus moara (kelp grouper)
Lineage: Eukaryota; Metazoa; Chordata; Actinopteri; Perciformes; Serranidae
Exons: 5
Source: RefSeq, a predicted model, not a curated record
CUCCAGCAUCAGAUCAGAGCGGUGCGACUGGGUCAGUGGAGGCUGGGUGUACUGCUCCGGACACACCACAUGGAGGGGCUGCAGGAGGGACAGACAGGAGACAGUGAUCAGCUCCUGAUGGCUCAUUCAGUCCUCUGAGGUGCAGACCGUACCUGGACUUCUUUGAGCAGCUUUGACACUUGGUGGAAGUUGAGCCGAGUGUCGAUGGGACAGUAAACGCACUUCAUAGCCAGCGGCUGGUACGGAGCCAGAGCAUCCAGCUCCAUGAAGUGAACCACGUCCCCGAAGCGCAGAGAUGGAUGACCGGUGAACACCACGCACGGCUGACGGAACUCACUGCUGAAGUCUCCGUGGAUGCUCGGGUAGUGCUUCAGCUUGUUGGUCUGGAUCAGCUGAAACAACAACGCAGCACAUGAGGAAAGAAAGUUCUUACCACUUUCUGUGAAUAUCCCACGAGCUGCACCUUGCUGAGGGCAGAGUUGACCUCCUGCAUGCUGUAGCAUCGUUUCCACGUCCACACAUCUACUGCAUCCUUCAGCGGCCCUGGGAGCAUCCUAAUCAGGUGGCAGACUGGGCUUUGGGAACUCUCUCCAUGAAGUUCACCAGUUCCUCCAUCAACAGUCUGUGAAAGUGAAAUAACAACAGGAAAGAACUGAAACCACAACAUCAGCCAGAGUUUAUUUUCCUGACGUUACAUUUUGUUCUUCAAACUCAACUUUCAAAUAACAAAAUGUACAGUGUCCUUUAAAUUAAUAUAAAAAUAAUAUGAUGAAGUUUG